CCUACGGGGGGCUGCAGUGGGGAAUAUUGGACAAUGGGCGAAAGCCUGAUCCAGCCAUGCCGCGUGUGUGAAGAAGGCCUUCGGGUUGUAAAGCACUUUCAGUGGGGAAGAAAGCCUUGGGGCUAAUACCCUCGAGGAAGGACAUCACCCACAGAAGAAGCACCGGCUAACUCCGUGCCAGCAGCCGCGGUAAUACGGAGGGUGCGAGCGUUAAUCGGAAUUACUGGGCGUAAAGCGCGCGUAGGCGGUCUGAUAAGCCGGUUGUGAAAGCCCCGGGCUCAACCUGGGAACGGCAUCCGGAACUGGCAGGCUAGAGUGCAGGAGAGGAAGAUAGAAUUCCCGGUGUAGCGGUGAAAUGCGUAGAGAUCGGGAGGAAUACCAGUGGCGAAGGCGGCCUUCUGGACUGACACUGACGCUGAGGUGCGAAAGCGUGGGUAGCAAACAGGAUUAGAUACCCUAGUAGUC
RNAcentral lists this ribosomal RNA (465 nucleotides) under Vreelandella stevensii. RNAcentral describes it as "partial 16S ribosomal RNA". It matches the Rfam family "Bacterial small subunit ribosomal RNA", at positions 338 to 795 of the family's 1533-position model. The record is from RNAcentral. Lineage: Bacteria; Pseudomonadati; Pseudomonadota; Gammaproteobacteria; Oceanospirillales; Halomonadaceae.